GUUGGGUAGGGGAGCGUUCUGUAAGCCGUCGAAGGUGGUCUGUGAGGACUGCUGGAGGUAUCAGAAGUGCGAAUGCUGACAUAAGUAACGAUAAAGCGGGUGAAAAGCCCGCUCGCCGGAAGACCAAGGGUUCCUGUCCAACGUUAAUCGGGGCAGGGUGAGUCGACCCCUAAGGCGAGGCCGAAAGGCGUAGUCGAUGGGAAACAGGUUAAUAUUCCUGUACUCGGUGUUACUGCGAAGGGGGGACGGAGAAGGCUAUGUUAGCCGGGCGACGGUUGUCCCGGUUUAAGCGUGUAGGCUGGCGUUCCAGGCAAAUCCGGAACGCUGUAAGGCUGAGGCGUGAUGACGAGGCACCACGGUGCUGAAGUAACAAAUGCCCUGCUUCCAGGAAAAGCCUCUAAGCAUCAGGUAACACAGAAUCGUACCCCAAACCGACACAGGUGGUCAGGUAGAGAAUACCAAGGCGCUUGAGAGAACUCGGGUGAAGGAACUAGGCAAAAUGGUGCCGUAACUUCGGGAGAAGGCACGCUGUCGGUAAGUGAAACCCCCCGCGGGUGGAGCUGAAGGCAGUCGAAGAUACCAGCUGGCUGCAACUGUUUAUUAAAAACACAGCACUGUGCAAACACGAAAGUGGACGUAUACGGUGUGACGCCUGCCCGGUGCCGGAAGGUUAAUUGAUGGGGUUAUCGCAAGAGAAGCUCCUGAUCGAAGCCCCGGUAAACGGCGGCCGUAACUAUAACGGUCCUAAGGUAGCGAAAUUCCUUGUCGGGUAAGUUCCGACCUGCACGAAUGGCGUAAUGAUGGCCAGGCUGUCUCCACCCGAGACUCAGUGAAAUUGAACUCGCUGUGAAGAUGCAGUGUACCCGCGGCAAGACGGAAAGACCCCGUGAACCUUUACUACAGCUUGACACUGAACAUUGAGCCUUGAUGUGUAGGAUAGGUGGGAGGCUUUGAAGCGUGGACGCCAGUCUGCGUGGAGCCGACCUUGAAAUACCACCCUUUAACGUUUGAUGUUCUAACCUGGCGCCGUAAUCCGGCGUGGGGACAGUGUCUGGUGGGUAGUUUGACUGGGGCGGUCUCCUCCUAAAGAGUAACGGAGGAGCACGAAGGUCAGCUAAUCACGGUCGGACAUCGUGAGGUUAGUGCAAUGGCAUAAGCUGGCUUGACUGUGAGAGUGACGGCUCGAACAGGUGCGAAAGCAGGUCAUAGUGAUCCGGUGGUUCUGAAUGGAAGGGCCAUCGCUCAACGGAUAAAAGGUACUCCGGGGAUAACAGGCUGAUACCGCCCAAGAGUUCAUAUCGACGGCGGUGUUUGGCACCUCGAUGUCGGCUCAUCACAUCCUGGGGCUGAAGUAGGUCCCAAGGGUACGGCUGUUCGCCGUUUAAAGUGGUACGCGAGCUGGGUUUAGAACGUCGUGAGACAGUUCGGUCCCUAUCUGCCGUGGGCGCUGGAAGAUUGAGAGGGGUUGCUCCUAGUACGAGAGGACCGGAGUGAACGCACCACUGGUGUUCGGGUUGUCAUGCCAAUGGCACUGCCCGGUAGCUAAGUGCGGAAAAGAUAAGCGCUGAAAGCAUCUAAGCGCGAAACUUGCCUCGAGAUGAAUCUUCCCUGGGCCUUU
RNAcentral lists this ribosomal RNA (1618 nucleotides) under Erwinia typographi. Its description in RNAcentral is "bacterial LSU rRNA". It matches the Rfam family "Bacterial large subunit ribosomal RNA", at positions 1223 to 2824 of the family's 2925-position model. The record is from RNAcentral. Lineage: Bacteria; Pseudomonadati; Pseudomonadota; Gammaproteobacteria; Enterobacterales; Erwiniaceae.